This 639-nucleotide ribosomal RNA is filed under the name Triticum aestivum (bread wheat). RNAcentral describes it as "partial small subunit ribosomal RNA". Lineage: Eukaryota; Viridiplantae; Streptophyta; Magnoliopsida; Poales; Poaceae. The record is from RNAcentral.
AUGGAUCUGGAGAGCAGCGAGCUCGCUUCUUUCAACAGGAAAAGAGGUGGAGACACCAACGAGGCAGAGGAGCCCAUCAUGGCGAUAGCGGCAGCGGCCGAACAGAUUUUGAUUGCGGCGCCUCCAGAUCCAUCCGCAAUGACGUCCGUCUCCAUCUGCCUGGAUCAGAGGUAUGUUAUAAUCUGGCAUCCUCUUUUGUCUUCCUUUCCAUCUCCUCGUAUACACUAUGGAUCUCAAACUCAGCGACCUAGCUUCUUUCAACAGUUAAAUAGGUGGAGACACCAACGAGGCAGAGGAGCCCAUCAUGGGAUAGCGGCAGCGGCCGAACAGAUUUUGAUUGCGGCGCCUCCAGAUCCAUCCGCAAUGACGUCCGUCUCCAUCUGCCUGGAUCAGAGGUAUGUUAUAAUCUGGCAUCCUCUUUUGUCUUCCUUUCCAUCUCCUCGUAUACACUAUGGAUCUCAAACUCAGCGACCUAGCUUCUUUCAACAGUUAAAUAGGUGGAGACACCACCGAGGCAGAGGAUUCCAUCAGCGCCGGGGUGAGAUGCGGAUGGGAGACGAGGGGCGGCUGAUAAGACAGAACAGAGGGGAGUCAGAUGCGCUAGGACCCACAAGUACUAGCAUACAGGGCUAUACCUAG